GCGGCCAUACCAUGCUCAAUAAAUAUACCGGUUCUCGUUCGAUCACUGAAGUCAAGCCUCAUCGGUCGAGGUCAGUACUUGGGAGGGUGACCAUCUAGGAACACCGCGUGCCGUU
Caerostris darwini is the source of this 115-nucleotide non-coding RNA. The record is from the annotation of a GenBank genome assembly. Lineage: Eukaryota; Metazoa; Arthropoda; Arachnida; Araneae; Araneidae.